Long non-coding RNA from Hyaena hyaena (striped hyena), 103 nucleotides. RefSeq lists it as uncharacterized. The record is from RefSeq and is a predicted model, not a curated record. The transcript is spliced from 3 exons. NCBI's taxonomy places the organism in Eukaryota, Metazoa, Chordata, Mammalia, Carnivora, Hyaenidae.
UUGGUGAUUGUAAAUACUGCUGCACUAAACACGUGGGUGCAGGUAUCUCUUCAAAUUGGUGUUUUGUUUUCUUUGGAUAAAUACCUAGUAGUGCAAUUGCUGG